This 392-nucleotide ribosomal RNA is filed under the name uncultured bacterium. RNAcentral describes it as "bacterial SSU rRNA". It matches the Rfam family "Bacterial small subunit ribosomal RNA", at positions 28 to 423 of the family's 1533-position model. The record is from RNAcentral.
GACGAACGCUGGCGGCGUGCUUAACACACGCAAGUCGAGCGGUAAGGCCCUUUCGGGGGUACACGAGCGGCGAACGGGUGAGUAACACGUGGGUGACCUGCCCUCAGCUCUGGGAUAAGCCUGGGAAACUGGGUCUAAUACUGGAUAUGACUCCACGGUGCAUGUCGUGGGGUGGAAAGCCUUGUGCGGCUGAGGAUGGGCCCGCGGCCUAUCAGCUUGUUGGUGGGGUGAUGGCCUACCAAGGCGACGACGGGUAGCCGGCCUGAGAGGGCGACCGGCCACACUGGGACUGAGACACGGCCCAGACUCCUACGGGAGGCAGCAGUGGGGAAUCUUGCGCAAUGGGCGAAAGCCUGACGCAGCGACGCCGCGUGAGGGAUGACGGCCUCGGU